Molecule: long non-coding RNA, 1371 nt
Organism: Thalassophryne amazonica
Lineage: Eukaryota; Metazoa; Chordata; Actinopteri; Batrachoidiformes; Batrachoididae
Exons: 2
Source: RefSeq, a predicted model, not a curated record
GACUCCGGAUAAAGCGGAAGAAAAUGGAUGGAUGGAUGGAUGUACCAUAAUAAGUUGUCCCACUUAUUUUAGCCAUUUUCCUUUAAAAUAUCAAAAAAAAUUUACACUUUUCUAUGACCCUCCAAAACAUUGGUCAUUCUAAACAUUUUGAAUACCUUGGAAAAAUCUGUAGCUACUGCAGUACAGAAAAUACAGCUGUAUUUGAAGUAACACUCAGGAUGAAAGGGCACCGUCAUUUUCGGGCUGUUCGUCCCAGACAAAGAUUGUUGCACAUAUCCCAAAUUGUUCAUUGGGGUCAUUAGUCUAGAACAGUCGAAUUAUUCUCCUAAAUGAUGUGCAUACAUGUCUGAGCUAGGUCGUUCGACUAUUUGGAGUAGAAGGUGGCAGUUAUGCACCAUUAAACUGGAUACCAACUGCUGUGAAACAAGAAGAGGUGAAUAAAUCACAUUCUCAAACUGAAUAAAGAGAGAAAAACCAAACCUUCAUAUUAAUCGGAACUCGACUUAUUUGGACUUUGUGGGACAGACAGAUCAGUAAUGAGGAGGGCAGCUGGGCUAAGGUAAGGCCAACAAUUACAUUUAGUGAUGAAAACGAGCACACUUUAGCUCUGAACAGAUGAAAAUAUCUAUUCAAUGAUGACAAGAAGCAGUUUACUCUUAAGUUCUUUAUGUAUGAUAAUAAUCAGCUGCCCAGUAGCUUCUGCUUGAUAAUGCAGGGCUUGUGUUAAAAAUAAUAUGCUGAUUAAAUUUAUUUUGCUUCUUGUUGCUAAAUGGGACUUAUAGACCAGUGCUUUGUUUCUCGUCAUGAUGCAUUUUUAGACAGAUGAGACUAAAACUAUGGUGCCACAUGUAGUCUGAAAAAUACAGAAAAGCUGCAGUCACAUUUGCUACAAAUGACAGCGACAAGCAGUUGGCUUUGCCACUUGAUGAAUGUUCCUAGGGCGUGCCCAUGACAUCUCCGUAAGAUGUCUUGUUAAACAAUUCAGAGGCGUAAUAUGGUUACAAAAAUAGCGGCUCGGCUUUAGACCGAUAUUGUGUUUGUGUGAACUUCCAGCUGUCGUUACGCUGUCUAUUCACUCUGAAUGGCAGUCGCUCUGUCAUGUUGUUCAGUAUUUGCAUAAAAUAGACUUCAGGUCUAUUUUGGCCCCACCUAGUUGGCGGUAAAGCGACUGUUGUCUCUUGCCACUGCAAAAUGGCCACUGACUGAAAAUGAAUGGAAAAUCCUUGCUUUGUCCCUGUCGAGUGGGUUGUAGCUCAUGUGACCACAUCUUAAGUGUAAAAGAAUAAACAGUUUACAUUCUGUUGACUAGAUUAACCAAGAUUUUGUUCCCCUUAUUUCCAGUAAAACCUCAAAGUCAUAUUUAACCAAAUA